GGGCCUGUAGCGCAGUGGUUGUCGCGCCCUCCCAGAUGAGAGGGAACACGCCGGUUCGAAUCCGGCCGGUCCCGCGA
RNAcentral lists this transfer RNA (77 nucleotides) under Lentzea aerocolonigenes. RNAcentral describes it as "Lechevalieria aerocolonigenes tRNA-OTHER". It matches the Rfam family "tRNA". From Rfam's summary of the family: Transfer RNA (tRNA) molecules are approximately 80 nucleotides in length. Their secondary structure includes four short double-helical elements and three loops (D, anti-codon, and T loops). Lineage: Bacteria; Bacillati; Actinomycetota; Actinomycetes; Pseudonocardiales; Pseudonocardiaceae. The record is from RNAcentral.